RNAcentral lists this ribosomal RNA (423 nucleotides) under uncultured fungus. Its description in RNAcentral is "eukaryotic LSU rRNA". It matches the Rfam family "Eukaryotic large subunit ribosomal RNA", at positions 1 to 416 of the family's 3401-position model. Lineage: Eukaryota; Fungi. The record is from RNAcentral.
UUGAUCUCAAAUCAGGUAGGACUACCCGCUGAACUUAAGCAUAUCAAUAAGCGGAGGAAAAGAAACUAACAAGGAUUCCCCUAGUAACUGCGAGUGAAGCGGGAAGAGCUCAAAUUUAAAAUCUGGCGUGCCUCUGGCCGUCCGAGUUGUAGUCUGGAGAAGCGUCUUCCGUGUUGGACCGUGUAUAAGUCUCUUGGAACAGGGCGUCAUAGAGGGUGAGAAUCCCGUCUUUGACACGGACUACCAAUGCUUUGUGAUGCGCUCUCAAAGAGUCGAGUUGUUUGGGAAUGCAGCUCAAAAUGGGUGGUAAAUUCCAUCUAAAGCUAAAUAUAGGCGAGAGACCGAUAGCGAACAAGUACCGUGAGGGAAAGAUGAAAAGCACUUUUGGAAAGAGAGUUAACAGUACGUGAAAUGCUGAAGGGA